UUUUGCCAAACUCUAUGCAUAUAUAGAGGCUGGGCAAGAAAGAAAUCCAGAAAUAUGGCAUAUGCCAUCCUUAUUUAUUUCCCCAUGCGACCAGCCAACAACUUCUUCACCUAGUCCCUGCUUCAAGCUGACUUUGUGUCUACUUCUCUAUCGGAAACGGAGCUGCCCUAAAGACUGCCUCAAUGUCAGUUACCCAGAGGCCUUUUUCCAUCUUGUGCUCCUAAACUUCUAUGAUAUUAAAUGAUAUUACCCUUUCUGGAAAUUCUCCUUAGCUUUGAUUUUAUAAUUUUACUCUGUUUCAUUCCUUCUUUUAUAGCCUUUCUUUUCUCUAUCCCUUUACUGCAGACAUGUUGUAUGGCUUUGUUCUUGACCUUCUGAUCUCUCCACAUUCAUUCCCUCAGAGCAUGCAUCCAUUUUCUUGGUGUCGGCCUUCCUGACUAUCUGAUUAUUACCAUCAUAUAACGAUGUUGGUGAUGGGCAUAGCUAACAUAUCCUAGGCAUUUUCCAUGUAGGUUAUAAUAAGCAUACUAUAUAAUUUGUACCAUUUAAUUCUUCAACCCUAAAUGAUACUAUUAUGAACCACAUUGUAUGAGAUGAGGAAACUGAGAUUUUCAUCAAAACCAUGGAAAGCCAACGUGAGGAGCCCCUGUGUGUCUCCUUUGUUAAUGCCUCUGGGCAUCAUGGCAUGUGGAUUGCCCUAGAAUGGGGAUUAGGAAGCGCAGCACUGUGAAAACACCAGAAAAUACGUUAUGAUAGCGGGUAAGGAUGCUCAUCUCCGCACAUUGAGAUAGUUUUGUUUCUGAGUCAGGUUAGAGAUGAGCCAAUCCUGACUCCAUGGUGCCACCAGGGAUCACGAAUUUAAUAAGAUCUUCGUGGAUGCUUGGAACCCAACUGGUCUCUGUUUUCUACUUUAGGGAAAGAGCCACAGCUUGAGUGGGGUGGUUUUGGUGUCACAUACGCUAUCAAUAAUACUCACCGUUUUGGUGUCACAUACGCGAUUAAUAAUACCCACCGCUGCAGAGGAAUCACCGUGGACUACUCCUCGUUUCAUCCCAUGCUCUUGCGAUGGAUCCCUCUCACCUGUUUACUGAUUUCAUUCAAAUUCUUCAGCGACCACAGGACCCCGACUUGCCUUCUCUAUCCUGGUUCCCACCACUCUGCUUUACAGGCCUGGCCUGCUCGCGGCUCCUCACACCAGCGCUGCACGGCUCCCUCCACGCCUCUGCCCUGUUUCCUCCAUCAGACAGGACUAGCUUCCUCCUUCUCUAUCGGGCAAAAGCCUGCCCAGCGUUCAAGACCCUCCUCAGAUGCCGCCUCCACGAUUAGGCUUCUUCCUGACUCCUGAGCCUGUAACACGCGCCACCAUAACUCUCCACCUCGGCCCACAUUCCCACAGCACUCGCGACGUCCGCGGCCCUCAACAUGGCGCUUCAUUCUAUUUUAGGGUAUUUCCUGCUUGUUUCCUGCACACACAGUCGCGCGAGGCACAGCCCCGAGUGACCCGCGCACGAGUGGCCCGCGCUUCCAGACGCGCCACCGCAGGCCAGGGAGGGCAGCCUGAGCCGCUUCCCGCCCCCGCGGGGACCUUCGCCAGCCCGCAGCUCUAGCGGGAGGCGGUUCCACAGCGCGCCCGACAGCCCCGCCACCGUCAGCACCUGCGCCUCGGGCGGGCUUUCCCCACCUCUGGGAGGCACGAAUCCUCAGGGGCUCCUGGAGAGGGCGCCAGGGAGCAGAUGCGUGCGGACACCUUUCGGCCCUCUGCAGCCGCCAUAGCUCGCCGGCAGAAACUCGGAAGUGGAAAUCUCAGCCAUUCAGCGUUUGGGUGAAGACGGAGGCGGGUUCUGGACAGACGUACGCUGUCAGGGAGUGUUUACUUCGCCUCCACUUCUGUUCUUCCCCGCCGUGGUGCUGCUCCAGGUCACAUACUCUUCCUGAGCUGGCUUCAGCCUCUCCGCGCAGAAGUCUCCCGCAGCCAUGGCCUAGUACUCUUAUGUGAAGUCUACCAAGCUUGUGCUCAAGGGAACCGAGGUGAAGAGCUGGGUCCUGCAGCUCCGGCGGGAGCCUCCUCAGUUCUUUUCGGACGCACUCCACCCCCGCGAAUCCGGUGGAAGCCGUGGUGCGGAGAGCCGGCUUCGUGGCCUCCCAGGCUUCGCUCUGACCCUGUCUGGGCUGGACGGAGGCCGGACCGCGGUUCCUGGCGCCUGUGCAGAGAGGGGCAGCCUCCCGCGCGGACGACCCUGGAAACAGGAUAGAAGGGCGGGUGACCCGUGGCCCCGUACCCACGAGUUUGGGUCCCCUGAGGCAUCUCUCCAGGCCUCUGCCUGAUUUGCCUGAGGUUGACUGUACAUACAAAUAUUGAGCAUUUCCUCCUGGCCUCUGUGAUAAACAGAGGUUUUGAUAUUGUUAGGCGAGAUGGAAAGAAAGUAUCAAGGGGUGAGCUGAAGCCACUGCCCUUGAGAACCCUCUCGAGGAGUCUGGCCUCAUGAAGAUGCCAGAAUAAAUGGCAGUAAGAAGAAAAAGAGCAAAGAUAAGAAGAGAAAAAGAGAAGAAGAUGAAGAAACCCAGCUUGAUAUGUUGGUGAGUCAGUUUUCAGUGCUUUAUUCUGAAAAAAGUUAACAUUUCUUGAGAUCUCAUUGAAAAUAUUUUCCUAGUUAGAAAUUUAUGAUGUAUUCAUAUUUGUCUUAAAGUGCUUAAAUAUUACCUACAGUUGCAAAUUCCAUUUAUUCUUUAGCACAGUAUAUGCUACUGAUCCCUUUACUUCAUUAUCAGAACAGAGCACAGGAGAGAAGAAUUACAACUCUCUGACUUAAUAGGCACCAUUAGACUGCUUAAUAGCCGCAGAUUCUGAUACAUAAUUUUAAAGGCUUAAUGUAAAUAUUAUUCAACCAAAUAUAUUUUACAAGAUAUUUUCU
This is a long non-coding RNA of Pan troglodytes (chimpanzee), 2912 nucleotides long. RefSeq lists it as uncharacterized. The record is from RefSeq and is a predicted model, not a curated record. The transcript is spliced from 3 exons. Lineage: Eukaryota; Metazoa; Chordata; Mammalia; Primates; Hominidae.